CGGUUAAGUUAGAAAGGGCGCACGGUGGAUGCCUUGGCACUAGGAGCCGAUGAAGGACGGGACGAACACCGAUAUGCUUCGGGGAGCUGUAAGCAAGCUUUGAUCCGGAGAUUUCCGAAUGGGGAAACCCACCACUCGUAAUGGAGUGGUAUCCAUAUCUGAAUACAUAGGAUAUGAGAAGGCAGACCCGGGGAACUGAAACAUCUAAGUACCCGGAGGAAGAGAAAGCAAAUGCGAUUCCCUGAGUAGCGGCGAGCGAAACGGGACCAGCCCAAACCAAGAGGCUUGCCUCUUGGGGUUGUAGGACACUCUGUACGGAGUUACAAAGGAACGAGGUAGAUGAAGAGGUCUGGAAAGGCCCGCCAUAGGAGGUAACAGCCCUGUAGUCAAAACUUCGUUCUCUCCUGAGUGGAUCCUGAGUACGGCGGAACACGUGAAAUUCCGUCGGAAUCCGGGAGGACCAUCUCCCAAGGCUAAAUACUCCCUAGUGACCGAUAGUGAACCAGUACCGUGAGGGAAAGGUGAAAAGCACCCCGGAAGGGGAGUGAAAGAGAUCCUGAAACCGUGUGCCUACAAGUAGUCAGAGCCCGUUAACGGGUGAUGGCGUGCCUUUUGUAGAAUGAACCGGCGAGUUACGAUCCCGUGCAAGGUUAAGCAGAAGAUGCGGAGCCGCAGCGAAAGCGAGUCUGAAUAGGGCGAAUUGAGUACGUGGUCGUAGACCCGAAACCAGGUGAUCUACCCAUGUCCAGGGUGAAGUUCAGGUAACACUGAAUGGAGGCCCGAACCCACGCACGUUGAAAAGUGCGGGGAUGAGGUGUGGGUAGGGGUGAAAUGCCAAUCGAACCUGGAGAUAGCUGGUUCUCUCCGAAAUAGCUUUAGGGCUAGCCUCAAGGUAAGAGUCUCGGAGGUAGAGCACUGAUUGGACUAGGGGCCCCUACCGGGUUACCGAAUUCAGUCAAACUCCGAAUGCCGAUGACUUAUCCUUGGGAGUCAGACUGCGAGUGAUAAGAUCCGUAGUCGAAAGGGAAACAGCCCAGACCGCCAGCUAAGGUCCCAAAGUAUACGUUAAGUGGAAAAGGAUGUGGAGUUGCUUAGACAACCAGGAUGUUGGCUUAGAAGCAGCCACCAUUUAAAGAGUGCGUAAUAGCUCACUGGUCGAGUGACUCUGCGCCGAAAAUGUACCGGGGCUAAACGUAUCACCGAAGCUGCGGACUGUUCUUCGAACAGUGGUAGGAGAGCGUUCUAAGGGCUGCGAAGCAAGACCGGAAGGACUUGUGGAGCGCUUAGAAGUGAGAAUGCCGGUAUGAGUAGCGAAAGAGGGGUGAGAAUCCCCUCCACCGAAUGCCUAAGGUUUCCUGAGGAAGGCUCGUCCGCUCAGGGUUAGUCGGGACCUAAGCCGAGGCCGAAAGGCGUAGGCGAUGGAUAACAGGUUGAUAUUCCUGUACCACCUCCUCACCAUUUGAGCAAUGGGGGGACGCAGGAGGAUAGGGUAAGCGCGGUAUUGGAUAUCCGCGUCCAAGCAGUUAGGCUGGGAAAUAGGCAAAUCCGUUUCCCGUGAAGGCUGAGCUGUGAUGGCGAGCGAAUUAUAGUAGCGAAGUUCCUGAUUCCACACUGCCAAGAAAAGCCUCUAGCGAGGUGAGAGGUGCCCGUACCGCAAACCGACACAGGUAGGCGAGGAGAGAAUCCUAAGGUGAUCGAGAGAACUCUCGUUAAGGAACUCGGCAAAAUGACCCCGUAACUUCGGGAGAAGGGGUGCUCUGUUAGGGUGCAAGCCCGAGAGAGCCGCAGUGAAUAGGCCCAGGCGACUGUUUAGCAAAAACACAGGUCUCUGCGAAGCCGUAAGGCGAAGUAUAGGGGCUGACGCCUGCCCGGUGCUGGAAGGUUAAGAGGAGCGCUUAGCGUAAGCGAAGGUGCGAAUUGAAGCCCCAGUAAACGGCGGCCGUAACUAUAACGGUCCUAAGGUAGCGAAAUUCCUUGUCGGGUAAGUUCCGACCCGCACGAAAGGCGCAACGAUCUGGGCACUGUCUCAACGAGAGACUCGGUGAAAUUAUAGUACCUGUGAAGAUGCAGGUUACCCGCGACAGGACGGAAAGACCCCGUGGAGCUUUACUGCAGCCUGAUAUUGAAUGUUGGUACAGCUUGUACAGGAUAGGUAGGAGCCUUGGAAACCGGAGCGCCAGCUUCGGUGGAGGCAUCGGUGGGAUACUACCCUGGCUGUAUUGACCUUCUAACCCGCCGCCCUUAUCGGGCGGGGAGACAGUGUCAGGUGGGCAGUUUGACUGGGGCGGUCGCCUCCUAAAAGGUAACGGAGGCGCCCAAAGGUUCCCUCAGAAUGGUUGGAAAUCAUUCGCAGAGUGUAAAGGCACAAGGGAGCUUGACUGCGAGACCUACAAGUCGAGCAGGGACGAAAGUCGGGCUUAGUGAUCCGGUGGUUCCGCAUGGAAGGGCCAUCGCUCAACGGAUAAAAGCUACCCCGGGGAUAACAGGCUUAUCUCCCCCAAGAGUCCACAUCGACGGGGAGGUUUGGCACCUCGAUGUCGGCUCAUCGCAUCCUGGGGCUGUAGUCGGUCCCAAGGGUUGGGCUGUUCGCCCAUUAAAGCGGUACGCGAGCUGGGUUCAGAACGUCGUGAGACAGUUCGGUCCCUAUCCGUCGCGGGCGCAGGAAAUUUGAGAGGAGCUGUCCUUAGUACGAGAGGACCGGGAUGGACGCACCGCUGGUGUACCAGUUGUUCUGCCAAGGGCAUCGCUGGGUAGCUAUGUGCGGACGGGAUAAGUGCUGAAAGCAUCUAAGCAUGAAGCCCCCCUCAAGAUGAGAUUUCCCAUUCCGCAAGGAAGUAAGAUCCCUGAAAGAUGAUCAGGUUGAUAGGUCUGAGGUGGAAGUGUGGCGACACAUGGAGCUGACAGAUACUAAUCGAUCGAGGACUUAACCAAUUU
RNAcentral lists this ribosomal RNA (2934 nucleotides) under Bacillus velezensis. RNAcentral's name for it is "bacterial LSU rRNA". It matches the Rfam family "Bacterial large subunit ribosomal RNA". The record is from RNAcentral. Lineage: Bacteria; Bacillati; Bacillota; Bacilli; Caryophanales; Bacillaceae.